Molecule: ribosomal RNA, 56 nt
Filed under: Calamus viminalis
Lineage: Eukaryota; Viridiplantae; Streptophyta; Magnoliopsida; Arecales; Arecaceae
Description: partial 26S ribosomal RNA
Source: RNAcentral
AACCCCAGGUCAGGUGGGGCCACCUGCCGAGCUUAAGCAUAUCAAUAAGCGGAGGA